AUACGGAGGGUGCGAGCGUUGUUCGGAAUCACUGGGCGUAAAGGGCGCGCAGGCGGUUUGGUAAGUCAGAUGUGAAAGCCCACGGCUUAACCGUGGAAGUGCAUUUGAAACUGCUUGACUUGAGUACCAGAGGGGAAGGUGGAAUUCCCGGUGUAGAGGUGAAAUUCGUAGAUAUCGGGAGGAAUACCGGUGGCGAAGGCGACUUUCUGGCUGGAUACUGACGCUGAGGCGCGAAAGCGUGGGGAGCAAACAGGAUUAGAUACCCUGGUAGUCCACGCCGUAAACGUUGUGAACUAGGUGUAGGGGGUGUUGAUCCCCUCUGUGCCGGAGCUAACGCAUUAAGUUCACCGCCUGGGGAGUACGGUCGCAAGAUUAAA
This 377-nucleotide ribosomal RNA is filed under the name uncultured bacterium. Its description in RNAcentral is "bacterial SSU rRNA". It matches the Rfam family "Bacterial small subunit ribosomal RNA", at positions 523 to 898 of the family's 1533-position model. The record is from RNAcentral.